AAUACCCAUGAUUGGAACAAUUAAGAUGAUGGCACCAAGCUGAAAUGACGACUCUCCAAGAGAAUGAACCAACAUUGAGAGAAACACUCCUUCGAAUUUGCAAGAUGGGAAUAAUGACGAGGAACAACACCAAGAAAAGCUGAGGCACUCCGGAAUAAGAAGAAUGAAAGGUUGAGCCAAAUAUGAGAAUUAAUUCCAAUUGAUCUUGGAGAAGGGAUAUGACUGAUGAAAUUCAUACUUACGUCAUAGCUGAAAAGAAUUAAUGAUCUCCGGAAAAGAUUAAAGAGCCAGGUAAGAUC
This 299-nucleotide long non-coding RNA is filed under the name Hordeum vulgare. RNAcentral's name for it is "long non-coding RNA (HVUL_LNC009648)". The record is from RNAcentral. Lineage: Eukaryota; Viridiplantae; Streptophyta; Magnoliopsida; Poales; Poaceae.